RNAcentral lists this long non-coding RNA (429 nucleotides) under Salvia miltiorrhiza (redroot sage). Its description in RNAcentral is "long non-coding RNA (SMIL_LNC000257)". Lineage: Eukaryota; Viridiplantae; Streptophyta; Magnoliopsida; Lamiales; Lamiaceae. The record is from RNAcentral.
GUUCUGCCAAAGUAUCAAGGUAAGACUUAGCUCAAUGCUUUCUUUUUCUUGAUUUUCACCUGCACACAUUGAAAGAGAACCAACAAUUAUACUACUUCAAUUACUUCAGUUCUAGUAAAUCGACAACAACCAAGCAAUAUCCAACCAACAUAAAGGCUUCCAGCUUCGGCUUAUUUUCAGCACAUUUGAUUCAUAAGCUCAGCCACAAACCAACAGCAUACUUCAAGGUAAUCAUGCUAUCCUAUUAUUCAUACCAGUGAGCUUUCAUAUCAAAGCAUGGACACGAUCAGUUGCACAAGGACAGAAAAUCUUAUAGACAUCUUGAACUUAGUAAACACCUCAACUAUGCGAUCAUGAGCAAGUGACAGUUUACAUGUAUGAGUAAACGAGCAUAUCGAGAUGAAAUCAAAACAAAGAGAAAUUACACCU